AGCAGCCGCGGUAAUUCCAGCUCCAAUAGCGUAUAUUAAAGUGGCUGCAGUUAAAAAGCUCGUAGUUGAAUUUCGGGACUAAUAUGUCGGUCGUGCCUCGGUACGUACUGGUAUUUUUGGUUUCUCCCUUCUGACGAACCUUGAUGUCAUUAAUUUGGUGUCUUGGGAAAUCAGGACUGUUACUUUGAAAAAAUUAGAGUGUUUAAAGCAGGCUCACGCUUGAAUACAUUAGCAUGGAAUAAUGAAAUAGGACGUUUGAUUCUAUUUUGUUGGUUUCUAGGAUCGACGUAAUGAUUAAUAGGGAUAGUUGGGGGCAUUAGUAUUCAAUUGUCAGAGGUGAAAUUCUUGGAUUUAUUGAAGACUAACUACUGCGAAAGCAUUUGCCAAGGAUGUUUUCAUUAAUCAAGAACGAAAGUUAGGGGAUCGAAGACGAUCAGAUACCGUCGUAGUCUUAACCAUAAACUAUGCCGACUAGGGAUCGGAUGAUGUUAAUUUUUUAAUGACUCA
Molecule: ribosomal RNA, 507 nt
Filed under: uncultured Glomus
Lineage: Eukaryota; Fungi; Glomeromycota; Glomeromycetes; Glomerales; Glomeraceae
Description: SSU rRNA
Rfam family: Eukaryotic small subunit ribosomal RNA
Source: RNAcentral